AGUGUUUGCCGUUCCACUUAAAUCGAAACGG
This is a regulatory RNA element of 31 nucleotides. It matches the Rfam family "Pseudoknot of upstream pseudoknot domain (UPD) of the 3'UTR". The record is from Rfam.